This 465-nucleotide ribosomal RNA is filed under the name Vreelandella stevensii. RNAcentral's name for it is "partial 16S ribosomal RNA". It matches the Rfam family "Bacterial small subunit ribosomal RNA", at positions 338 to 795 of the family's 1533-position model. The record is from RNAcentral. Lineage: Bacteria; Pseudomonadati; Pseudomonadota; Gammaproteobacteria; Oceanospirillales; Halomonadaceae.
CCUACGGGCGGCAGCAGUGGGGAAUAUUGGACAAUGGGGGCAACCCUGAUCCAGCCAUGCCGCGUGUGUGAAGAAGGCCCUCGGGUUGUAAAGCACUUUCAGUGAGGAAGAACGCCUGGUGGUUAAUACCCAUCAGGAAAGACAUCACUCACAGAAGAAGCACCGGCUAACUCCGUGCCAGCAGCCGCGGUAAUACGGAGGGUGCGAGCGUUAAUCGGAAUUACUGGGCGUAAAGCGCGCGUAGGUGGCUUGAUAAGCCGGUUGUGAAAGCCCCGGGCUCAACCUGGGAACGGCAUCCGGAACUGUCAAGCUAGAGUGCAGGAGAGGAAGGUAGAAUUCCCGGUGUAGCGGUGAAAUGCGUAGAGAUCGGGAGGAAUACCAGUGGCGAAGGCGGCCUUCUGGACUGACACUGACACUGAGGUGCGAAAGCGUGGGUAGCAAACAGGAUUAGAUACUCCGGUAGUC